Molecule: ribosomal RNA, 466 nt
Filed under: Vreelandella stevensii
Lineage: Bacteria; Pseudomonadati; Pseudomonadota; Gammaproteobacteria; Oceanospirillales; Halomonadaceae
Description: partial 16S ribosomal RNA
Rfam family: Bacterial small subunit ribosomal RNA
Source: RNAcentral
CCUACGGGAGGCAGCAGUGGGGAAUAUUGGACAAUGGGCGAAAGCCUGAUCCAGCCAUGCCGCGUGUGUGAAGAAGGCCUUCGGGUUGUAAAGCACUUUCAGUGGGGAAGAAAGCCUUGGGGCUAAUACCCUCGAGGAAGGACAUCACCCACAGAAGAAGCACCGGCUAACUCCGGGCCAGCAGCCGCGGUAAUACGGAGGGUGCGAGCGUUAAUCGGAAUUACUGGGCGUAAAGCGCGCGUAGGCGGUCUGAUAAGCCGGUUGUGAAAGCCCCGGGCUCAACCUGGGAACGGCAUCUCGAAACUGGCAGGCUAGAGUGCAGGAGAGGAAGGUAGAAUUCCAGGUGUAGCGGUGAAAUGCGUAGAGAUCGGGAGGAAUACCAGUGGCGAAGGCGGCCUUCUGGACUGACACUGACGCUGAGGUGCGAAAGCGUGGGUAGCAAACAGGAUUAGAUACCCCGGUAGUC